RNAcentral lists this ribosomal RNA (261 nucleotides) under uncultured prokaryote. RNAcentral describes it as "partial 16S ribosomal RNA". It matches the Rfam family "Bacterial small subunit ribosomal RNA", at positions 524 to 784 of the family's 1533-position model. The record is from RNAcentral.
UACGUAGGUGGCGAGCGUUAUCCGGAAUUAUUGGGCGUAAAGAGCGCGCAGGUGGUUGAUUAAGUCUGAUGUGAAAGCCCACGGCUUAACCGUGGAGGGUCAUUGGAAACUGGUCGACUUGAGUGCAGAAGAGGGAAGUGGAAUUCCAUGUGUAGCGGUGAAAUGCGUAGAGAUAUGGAGGAACACCAGCGGCGAAGGCGGCUUCCUGGUCUGUAACUGACACUGAGGCGCGAAAGCGUGGGGAGCAAACAGGAUUAGAUA